CCCGAGGCCCGGGCCGCACUCACCGAAGUCCAGGAACUGCUUCAUGGAGAGCGGGGACGGCGAGAAGCGCGCGUAGAAGUCCACCUGGCCCGGGACGCCGCCUUCGGGCGCCGGGCCGGAGCCCGAGUCCGAGGGGAGGAAACUGAGACCCAAAGAGUUUCAGGAGCAGACCCUUGCAAAGCAGUGGUUUCGCUUGAAGGACAACAUUGACCAUCUGGAAACAAGUGUAGGUAGUUGAGGAGUUGGGGUGGAAACAUAUUUUCCAAAAGUGAUGCCUCUAAUAAUUCUUUCAGGUCAUAAGGCCAUGGAACAGCCCUUUGAUAUAUAACUCGAUUGAACAAUGUCUGCCCUCCCAGGAAAUUCUGCAUCCUAGCCUGGCAACUCAUGAAGAGUUGAAACCGAGCAGGACCCUGUGGGGCCCCUCCCAGCUGACCAAAGGUUUAUGGCUCAAACCUGCUACUUGGAACCCCAGGAUUGAGACAGUCAUCUCUGAAAAUAGAAGAUUACCUCCUCCCCAGCACAUAGCCCCCUCCUCUUAUCCCUGUAUAAUCUCCAAGCAAAACCUGGGGAGUUGGGAGUUGGUUCUUUGGGACGUGAGUCCACCUUCUCUAGGAUUGCCAGCUUCCUUAAUAAAGCUAUCUUUUCUUUUACCCAACACUUCUCUCUCACAAUUGGAUU
Long non-coding RNA from Hippopotamus amphibius kiboko, 678 nucleotides. RefSeq lists it as uncharacterized. NCBI's taxonomy places the organism in Eukaryota, Metazoa, Chordata, Mammalia, Artiodactyla, Hippopotamidae. The transcript is spliced from 5 exons. The record is from RefSeq and is a predicted model, not a curated record.